GUAUCAAACAGGAUUAGAUACCCUGGUAGUCCACACGGGUAAACGAUGAAUACUCGCUGUUUGCGAUAUACAGCAAGCGGCCAAGCGAAAGCGUUAAGUAUUCCACCUGGGGAGUACGCCGGCAACGGUGAAACUCAAAGGAAUUGACGGGGGCCCGCACAAGCGGAGGAACAUGUGGUGUAAUUCGAUGAUACGCGAGGAACCUUACCCGGGCUUAAAUUGCAGAUGAAUUACGGUGAAAGCCGUAAGCCGCAAGGCAUCUGUGAAGGUGCUGCAUGGUUGUCGUCAGCUCGUGCCGUGAGGUGUCGGCUUAAGUGCCAUAACGAGCGCAACCCUUGUUGUCAGUUACUAACAGGUUCCGCUGAGGACUCUGACAAGACUGCCAUCGUAAGAUGUGAGGAAGGUGGGGAUGACGUCAAAUCAGCACGGCCCUUACGUCCGGGGCUACACACGUGUUACAAUGGGGGGUACAGAGGGCCGCUACCACGCGAGUGGAUGCCAAUCCCAAAAACCUCUCUCAGUUCGGACUGGAGUCUGCAACCCGACUCCACGAAGCUGGAUUCGCUAGUAAUCGCGCAUCAGCCACGGCGCGGUGAAUACGUUCCCGGGCCUUGUACACACCGCCCGUCAAGCCAUGGGAGCCGGGGGUACCUGAAGUGCGUAACCGCGAGGAGCGCCCUAGGGUAA
Molecule: ribosomal RNA, 687 nt
Filed under: uncultured organism
Description: SSU rRNA
Rfam family: Bacterial small subunit ribosomal RNA
Source: RNAcentral